UUGGCAAUGCUAACAUUUCAAAGAUGGUACU
Molecule: non-coding RNA, 31 nt
Filed under: Rattus norvegicus (Norway rat)
Lineage: Eukaryota; Metazoa; Chordata; Mammalia; Rodentia; Muridae
Source: RNAcentral